This 586-nucleotide ribosomal RNA is filed under the name uncultured bacterium. RNAcentral describes it as "bacterial SSU rRNA". It matches the Rfam family "Bacterial small subunit ribosomal RNA", at positions 341 to 916 of the family's 1533-position model. The record is from RNAcentral.
ACGGGAGGCAGCAGUGGGGAAUAUUGGACAAUGGGCGCAAGCCUGAUCCAGCCAUACCGCGCUGUGUGAAGAAGGCCUUCGGGUUGUAAAGCACUUUAAGCAGGGAGAAAAAGUUAUAAGUUAAUACCUUAUAACCGUGAUGUUACCUGCAGAAUAAGCACCGGCUAAUUCCGUGCCAGCAGCCGCGGUAAUACGGAAGGUGCAAGCGUUAAUCGGAAUUACUGGGCGUAAAGCGCGCGUAGGUGGUUUGUUAAGUUGGAUGUGAAAGCCCUGGGCUCAACCUAGGAACUGCAUCCAAAACUAACUCACUAGAGUACGAUAGAGGGAGGUAGAAUUCAUAGUGUAGCGGUGGAAUGCGUAGAUAUUAUGAAGAAUACCAGUGGCGAAGGCAGCCUCUUGGUCCAUUACUGACGCUGAUACACGAAAGCGUGGGUAGCAAACAGGAUUAGAUACCCUGGUAGUCCACGCCGUAAACGAUGAUCACUAGAUGUCGGCUUCACAUUGUGAGGUUGGUGUCGCAGCUAACGCGUUAAGUGAUCCGCCUGGGGACUACGGUCGCAAGAUUAAAACUCAAAGGAAUUGACGG